This is a long non-coding RNA of Alnus glutinosa, 1762 nucleotides long. RefSeq lists it as uncharacterized. The record is from RefSeq and is a predicted model, not a curated record. The transcript has 4 exons. NCBI's taxonomy places the organism in Eukaryota, Viridiplantae, Streptophyta, Magnoliopsida, Fagales, Betulaceae.
AUCAAGAGCCACACUCUUUGGUCAUAUUCAGACUUUGAAGAGAAGACAUCAUAAGUCUCAACAAUCCUAAAGACAAAAGAGAAGAAGAAAAUCAAAUAUGCUCAAGAACAUCAAGGCAGUCAAUACCCUACAAGUGACGCCAAUGGUGAGAGAACAUUCUGGUUGAUCUUCAAUCUGUAAUAUGACAUUCUUAAGCAUGACCUCGUGAUGGGCAAGGGUCAGAAUUGCAAACUACACACAAAGACUUAACUUUUUACACUUAAAGACUUAGGUGUUGAAAAGUAUUACAGCCCAAGUUUUUACCAUAGAAUGAGGCGAAUUUCUAAGACCUAACAGAAUCAUCAACCUUUGUAUAUAAAAGACCACAUACAUUGAUAAAAAGCAACUUUGCAUGGCAAAGACUAGUAAAUGGGAGAUGAGUUUCUAUUUUGUGGGGGACAAGAGUGCUUUAUGGGAUUUCAAGAAAAUUUUUUUUCCUUCUUACGCUCCAUCACACUAGAACACACGUACGGCCAAGCCUCUCCAUCAUAUUCUCCCUCAUUUCUUCCAUCUUCUAUUCACUUCUCUCAAACUCUCAUUCAACCCUUUCAAGCCCUUCAACUUCUAAGGCUCAAAACCACCUAUUAUUCCUCACUAGCUCAUAAAACAUCACAUUCUUCGGCUAAAGAAGAUGCUCAUUAAGUUUUCUAGUGUUCUCUAUCACACCUUUUCUUUUCCAUGUGCCAGAGAUGUGAGCAGUAGGUCUACAGUCAAGGAUGCAGGUCAUAGUCACAUACAUCACAAGAGAAGGCCCAAAAUUUCCCUCUAAUUUGGCAAGAGUCACAUAGGUAUGCUUUGGCCAUGUCCAGCUUGAGCAAGUGUUCAUGCUUUAUAUCCUUCACUUGUCGGGGCAAUGCAUCUCCUUCCUUUCUCAACGCUGCUUCCACCUCUCCAACCUUCGAUUUUGUAAACGGGAAAGCCUUGGCGCCAUACGAGCUGAUGAUGGCCCUCCCAUUUGUGCCGAUGGUCUUCCCAUCUGCUCCGACGAGGACUAGAGCUGGAAUCCCUUUGAUGUUGAAGAUCCUGCACAGGUCGUUUCGUGUUUUGUCCAGAUAUGGUAUGGCCAGCCAUGGCAUGCUUUCCAGGCUGAGAUUGAAUUCAUUGAGGUCCCGAUCUGUUGAGACGAAAAUAAUUUCGAAGUCUUGCUCUUUAGAACUCAUGAGAUGAUCGUUGUAAGCUUCUAAAAGUUGUGCAGUGAAGGUUUGACAAGGUGGGCACCAAUGUGCUCCGAAGUAGAGGCCUAUGGUCUUUCCAACAAGUUCUGAUACUAACGCCUGCAAGGAGUCAAGCUCAAAACAUGUCAACUUUACACCAAAGAGAAUGCUAAAAGCAAGUAGCAAAUACAGAGUGGCCGGCAGCAGCUAUCGGUCGUCUUUCGGCAACUGUCACGGUGUAAAGCGGAGCUUGUAGAACUUGUUGGUAAUGGUAUAAAGUGAUCAGGUGAAGAAAAUCUUAGUAAUUUGUGACACUUUAAUAUACGCUUAUACCAAAACAAGGUCGAAAAGCCUCAAAACUUUGAGAAAGCUCGUGGGGCGACGCUUUUCUAAUAUAGUAGACAAGGCCACAGACAAGUGGUUCUCAUAUAUGCAAUGUUAAAAUAACUAGAGAAUAGAAACUUGAACUGAAUACUGUAUUUUUGUGUGUUGUAACCAUGUACAAUAAGAGCCUGUUUAUAGUUGAAUAAGGUCAGUUAAAAUAGGAAAUAUUAUGAGACAGAGAAUUA